This 441-nucleotide ribosomal RNA is filed under the name uncultured bacterium. RNAcentral's name for it is "partial 16S ribosomal RNA". It matches the Rfam family "Bacterial small subunit ribosomal RNA", at positions 338 to 795 of the family's 1533-position model. The record is from RNAcentral.
CCUCCGGGUGGCAGCAGUAGGGAAUUUUGCGCAAUGGGGGAAACCCUGACGCAACAACGCCGCGUGAUCGAUGAAGCCCUUCGGGGUGUAAAGAUCUGUCAGUGGGGACGAACCCUGACGGUACCGACAGCGGAAGACACGGCUAAAUCCGUGCCAGCAGACGCGGUAAUACGGGGGGUGCCAGCGUUGUCCGGUAGCAUUGGGCGUAAAGGGUUCGUAGGUGGCACGUUAAGUAUGGUGUUAAAGGGGGGAGCCCAACUUCCGUAGGGAUCUGGAUACUGGCGAGCUUGAAUGCAGUAGAGGAGAAUGGAAGUCCUGGUGUAGCGGUGAAAUGCGUAGAUAUCAGGAGGAACAGCGGUGGCGUAAGCGCUUCACUGGGCCGUAAUUGACACUGAGGAACGAAAGCCGGGGGAGCAAAUGGGAUUAGAUACCCCAGUAGGC